This 1873-nucleotide long non-coding RNA is filed under the name Malus domestica (apple). RNAcentral describes it as "long non-coding RNA (MDOM_LNC009079)". Lineage: Eukaryota; Viridiplantae; Streptophyta; Magnoliopsida; Rosales; Rosaceae. The record is from RNAcentral.
UAUAUAUAUAAAAUACUGAAACAAUUAUUCAAUAAUGUACUAACCCCCAAUGUUUUAUGGAAAUUCAAUAGUAUAAUAUGUAAUAGGUUUUUCCGAAAACCCUAGCAUGCUAUAAAACCUUUCAUAAAACCUGUCUCGUAUAUAUAUUGUGCUAAAUAGUGGUAUUAUAAUUGACCUGUAGGCCCCUACAUCACCCGACCCAUAGGCCAAAUAAGUAUCAUCGCCCAUAGGCAGAACAGUGACCACUAGAUAAGCACAAAACAUUGAAUAUAAUAUUUCCAAACAUACGUACAUAUAUCUCAAAACAUCUUCAUAGUAUAUAAUCAUCCAUCAUAUGUUGGAAGUAUGCCCACAAAGCCACUCAUUUGAUGUAAUAGCUUUUGGAAUACUUAUUGUGUUAAACUAUUAUAUGUUUAAUGAAGGGCAAAUCUUUUUGUUAAUCACUAUUUAUUGUAUUAUAUGUUUAAGCAAUAAGGGAAUCCAAUGAAUGUAUUUAAUCUAAGAGAGAAGUGAUCUAAGUAAGUUAGAUUAACGAGACCUUUCUCUUAUGUUCAUUACUAAAACGUUCCUAGCCAUAAGAUUGCGAAUUGGGCAUUGACAAUUCGCUAAGGUUAGUAUGUGUUAUGUUAACUCAAGCGCGAGUAUGACUAGUCUCAAGUCAUUUAGUGUUGAACACUGAGACAACACAUAGGCGCUCGAAAGGUAAUUGAGUACACUGAACAACGAUAAAAAAGGAGUUCGAACAUACAUGUCAUGUAAGAAUUCGUAAGUUGCAAUAUGCAAAGUAGUCAUUUGACCUGAGGCAUUAUAGAUGUCUAAUGGUUGGGUCCUUGAUCUUUGAUCAUGUUAAAGGAAUUCCAUUGAGAGUGUCGGCAUUGUUGGGGUCAAACUAUCUAGUUAUGUAGGCAUAUGAAUGCACAACAAGGGAUCUCUAACCUUCCAUGGUGGAGGGAGAAUACUCUGAGAUAUGAUUCAGGAGUCUUUGGCCAAAGCAUACGAAUAUGACUUAGGAAGUUUGUUCUAAAUCAUAUUCAAAUGAAUCAUAUAGAGAAGUAUCACAUUGGAUAGUAGACAUGAAACAAACUAUCACUUAAACAAUGUGAUUAAGAGUAUUGUAUUAGAGAAUGAUCGUAUUACAUUGUAAUUGUAACUAGAUAGGUUCUCCAACCACUUCUACUUAGCUUAGGUAGCCAUGACAUACUGCUAGUUGUCACUCAUGAUUUGUGCAAGCCUUGAAGUUUAGCAAACACUAAUCUUCAUCAAAGGGAGAAUUGAAAUGUGGUUUCAAUUCACAAUCGAUCGUUAAGAGUAACAAUCGCCCACUGCCUUGCUAAUUGGAACCUAAUGGAUCGUACACUGAGUAAAGAUGAAAGUGAAGAAAUAUAAAUGAGAUGGAUAAACAAUUAAAUGGUUUAAUUGAGAAUGGUCAAGAUUAAUUAAUUAUAUGAAAGGUUCGUAUUGGGCUUUCAAUUUAGUUUCAAGUCUCGGGGGCCCAAAAGUGUUUUGCUCCACAAGACCCAUUAUGUUUAAGUUGUAUGACAACUAAAACAAAAUGGGCAAUUAGCCCAAUAACAAAGUCAAGGCCGGCCAUAAGGGUGAGUGGAUGCAAACUUGGAUUAAUUGCAAGUUUGCCACUCACAUGUGAGGUAGUAUAAAGUCAUCUUUAUAGCUUUUACUCACUAGGGUUUUUCUUGAGGUAAAGAAGAGAAACUUUUUCUCUCUUUUUCUCUAUAGAGGCCAGCCACUUAGGGAGACUUUUGCUAGCAUCAAAAAUCUCUCUAAGUCAUCCAUCUUCUCUUCACACUACAUCCUUGGUGUGGAGACUUAGAGACACUAAACCUUUGGUGUUCUUGGAGAUCCUUUCCUCACAUCC